UUUGAAACGUUUUAGCCAAA
RNAcentral lists this microRNA (20 nucleotides) under Gadus morhua (Atlantic cod). RNAcentral's name for it is "gmo-miR-722-5p". Its record names the gene gmo-miR-722-5p. Lineage: Eukaryota; Metazoa; Chordata; Actinopteri; Gadiformes; Gadidae. The record is from miRBase by way of RNAcentral.